UGCAUGGUUGUCGUCAGCUCGUGUCGUGAGAUGUUGGGUUAAGUCCCGCAACGAGCGCAACCCUCGACCUUAGUUGCCAGCAUUCAGUUGGGCACUCUAAGGUGACUGCCGGACUAAAGUCGGAGGAAGUGGGAUGACGUCAAAUCAUCAUGCCCCUUAUGACCUGGGCUACACACGUGCUACAAUGGGCGGUACAAAGGGUCGCGAACCCGCGAGGGGGGAGCCAAUCCCAAAAAGCCGCUCUCAGUUCGGAUUGCAGGCUGCAACUCGCCUGCAUGAAGCCGGAAUCGCUAGUAAUCGCGGAUCAGCAUGCCGCGGUGAAUACGUUCCCGGGCCUU
RNAcentral lists this ribosomal RNA (338 nucleotides) under uncultured Anoxybacillus sp. Its description in RNAcentral is "bacterial SSU rRNA". It matches the Rfam family "Bacterial small subunit ribosomal RNA", at positions 1042 to 1382 of the family's 1533-position model. Lineage: Bacteria; Bacillati; Bacillota; Bacilli; Caryophanales; Anoxybacillaceae. The record is from RNAcentral.